This 613-nucleotide ribosomal RNA is filed under the name Ochthebius exsculptus. RNAcentral's name for it is "partial 16S ribosomal RNA". The stretch from base 377 to 535 matches the Rfam family "Bacterial large subunit ribosomal RNA", at positions 2473 to 2632 of the family's 2925-position model. The record is from RNAcentral. Lineage: Eukaryota; Metazoa; Arthropoda; Insecta; Coleoptera; Hydraenidae.
GUCUUUUUGAUUAUAAUUUAAAGUCUAAUCUGCCCAAUGAUUUUUUAAAUGGCUGCGGUAUUUUGACCGUACAAAGGUAGCAUAAUCAUUAGUUUUUUAAUUGAAAGCUAGAAUGAAUGAUUGAACGAAAAAAUUACUGUCUCAAUUUAAUUUUUUUAGAAUUUUAUUUUUGAGUUAAAAAGCUUAAAUAAUUUUUAAAGACGAGAAGACCCUAUAGAGUUUAAUAUUUUAAAAAUUUUAAAUUUUAUAAAUUUUUUAAAUUUUAAAAAUAUUUUAUUGGGGUGAUAAUUAAAUUUAAAAAACUUUAAUUUUUACAUACAUAAAUUUAUGAAUAAAUGAUCCAUUAUUAAUGAUUAAAAGAUAAAAUUACCUUAGGGAUAACAGCGUAAUUUUUUUUGAGAGUUCUUAUCGAAAAAAAAGAUUGCGACCUCGAUGUUGGAUUAAAAUUAAAUUUUGGUGUAGAAGCUAAAACUUUAAGUCUGUUCGACUUUUAAAAUUUUACAUGAUCUGAGUUUAAACCGGCGUGAGCCAGGUUGGUUUCUAUCUUAAAAUAAUUAAAAUAUUUUAGUACGAAAGGACCAAAUAUUUGUAAUAAUUAUUAAUUUUUGAAUAU